GGUUGUAAACCCCUUUCAGCAGGGGACGAAAAUGACGGUACCUGCAGAAGAAGCCCCGGCCAACUACGUGCAGCAGCUGCGGUACACGUAGGGGGCAAGCGUGUCCGGAUUUAUUGGGCGUAAAGAGCUCGUAGGCGGUUGCGUAAGUCGGAUGUGAAACUCAGGGCUCAACCCGGAGACGCCAUCCGAUACUGCGCUGACUAGAGUCCGGUAGAGGAGCAUGGAAUUCCUGGUGUAGCGGUGAAAUGCGCAGAUAUCAGGAGGAACACCAGUAGCGAAGGCGGUGCUCUGGGCCGGAACUGACGCUGAGGAGCGAAAGCGUGGGUAGCAAACAGGAUUAGAUACCCUGGUAGUCCACGCCGUAAACGUUGGGCACUAGGUGUGGGGCUUCCUUAACGGGCUCCGUGCCGUAGCUAACGCAUUAAGUGCCCCGCCUGGGGGGUACGGCCGCAAGGCUAAAACUCAAAGGAAUUGACGGGGGYCCGCACAAGCGGCGGAGCAUGUUGCUUAAUUCGAGGCAACGCGAAGAACCUUACCUGGGUUUGACAUGCACGGAAAAGCCAUAGAGAUAUGGUGUCCUUCGGGGCUGUGCGCAGGUGGUGCAUGGCUGUCGUCAGCUCGUGUCGUGAGAUGUUGGGUUAAGUCCCGCAACGAGCGCAACCCUUGUCCUAUAUUGCCAGCACGUAAAGGUGGGGACUUGUAGGAGACUGCCGGGGUCAACUCGGAGGAAGGUGGGGACGACGUCAAGUCAUCAUGCCCCUUAUGCCCAGGGCUGCAAACAUGCUACAAUGGCCGGUACAAAGGGCUGCUAUACCGCGAGGUUGAGCGAAUCCCAUAAAGCCGGUCUCAGUUCGGAUUGGAGUCUGCAACUCGACUCCAUGAAGUCGGAGUCGCUAGUAAUCCCGGAUCAGCAAUGCCGGGGUGAAUACGUUCCCGGGCCUUGUACACACCGCCCGUCACACCACGAAAGUCGGCAACACCCGAAGUCAGUGGCCUAACCCCUCGGGGAAGGAACUGCCGAAGGUGGGGUUGGCGAUUGGGGUGAAGUCGUAACAAGGUAACC
This 1063-nucleotide ribosomal RNA is filed under the name uncultured bacterium. RNAcentral's name for it is "bacterial SSU rRNA". It matches the Rfam family "Bacterial small subunit ribosomal RNA", at positions 421 to 1501 of the family's 1533-position model. The record is from RNAcentral.